This is a long non-coding RNA of Pocillopora damicornis (cauliflower coral), 396 nucleotides long. The record is from RefSeq and is a predicted model, not a curated record. NCBI's taxonomy places the organism in Eukaryota, Metazoa, Cnidaria, Anthozoa, Scleractinia, Pocilloporidae.
UGCAUUGUAUCAAUUUUAUUUUUCACUGUUUAAUUAAACUAAUAAGGUAAUUUUUUUGUCUCACAGAAAAGUUGUGGAUUUUGUCAUUGAAAAUUAUUUCCGGGAUUUAGUCAACAAGACCAAGAAGUACUUGUCUCCAAGGCGAGAGGUUCCUGAUCACGUCCAGAAACCUAACUAUGCAGAGAAUGGUGUUCCUCUGUCAGAGAUAAAAUCCAAGCAAAGCAUGCAGAUAAGAGUUCUGAAUGAGGAGGAAAUUGAGAAGAUGCAGGUGGCAUGCAGGUUGGCAAGGGAAGUGUUGGAUACAGCAGCAAGGCAUAUUAAAGUUGGUAUCACAACAGAUGAAUUGGACAGGAUAGUACAUGAGGUACAGAAUAUAAAUAAAUACACAGUUUGUCU